RNAcentral lists this ribosomal RNA (809 nucleotides) under uncultured bacterium. RNAcentral describes it as "bacterial SSU rRNA". It matches the Rfam family "Bacterial small subunit ribosomal RNA", at positions 682 to 1502 of the family's 1533-position model. The record is from RNAcentral.
UGAAAUGCUUAGAUAUCACGAAGAACCCCGAUUGCGAAGGCAGCUUGCCAGGCCUGGACUGACGUUGAGGCUCGAAGGUGCGGGUAUCGAACAGGAUUAGAUACCCUGGUAGUCCGCACGGUAAACGAUGGAUACUCGCUGUCGGCGAUACACGGUCGGCGGCCAAGCGAAAGCGUUAAGUAUCCCACCUGGGGAGUACGCCGGCAACGGUGAAACUCAAAGGAAUUGACGGGGGCCCGCACAAGCGGAGGAACAUGUGGUUUAAUUCGAUGAUACGCGAGGAACCUUACCCGGGCUUGAACUGUGCCUGACUGCCUCAGAGAUGGGGCUUCCAGCAAUGGCAGGCAUGGAGGUGCUGCAUGGUUGUCGUCAGCUCGUGCCGUGAGGUGUCGGCUUAAGUGCCAUAACGAGCGCAACCCCUCCCGCCAGUUGCCAUCAGGUAAUGCUGGGCACUCUGGGGGCACUGCCACCGCAAGGUGUGAGGAAGGUGGGGAUGACGUCAAAUCAGCACGGCCCUUACGUCCGGGGCUACACACGUGUUACAAUGGGAGGUCACAGAGGGCUGCUACCCGGCGACGNNNNNNNNNNNCCCAAACCCUCCCUCAGUACGGACUGGAGUCUGCAACCCGACUCCACGCCCCUGGAUUCGCUAGUAAUCGCGCAUCAGCCACGGCGCGGUGAAUACGUUCCCGGGCCUUGUACACACCGCCCGUCAAGCCAUGAAAGCCGGCGGUGCCUGAAGUGCGUAACCGCAAGGGGCGCCCUAGGGUAAAGCCGGUGAUUGGGGCUAAGUCGUAACAAGGUAACCA